UAGCAUAUCAAUAAGCGGAGGAAAAGAAACCAACAGGGAUUGCCUCAGUAACGGCGAGUGAAGCGGCAACAGCUCAAAUUUGAAAUCUGGCCUCUUUGGGGUCCGAGUUGUAAUUUGUAGAGGAUGUUUCGGGUACCGCCUCGGUUUAAAUUUCUUGGAACAGAAUGUCAGAGAGGGUGAGAAUCCCGUCUUGGACCGGCGGUAGGGCCCAUGUGAAACUCCUUCGACGAGUCGAGUUGUUUGGGAAUGCAGCUCAAAAUGGGUGGUAAAUUUCAUCUAAAGCUAAAUAUUGGCCAGAGACCGAUAGCGCACAAGUAGAGUGAUCGAAAGAUGAAAAGAACUUUGAAAAGAGAGUUAAACAGUAUGUGAAAUUGUUGAAAGGGAAGCGCUUGCAACCAGACUUGAGCGCGGCGGUUCCCCCUUCCUUUUGGUUGGGUUACUCCGCCGUGUCCAGGCCAACAUCGGUUCUGGGGGUCGGUUAAAGGCCCGGGGAAUGUACCUACUCCUUCGGGGGUAGACUUAUAGCCCCGGGUGUCAUGCGACCACCCGGGACCGAGGAACGCGCUUCGGCUCGGAUGUUGGCGUAAUGGUUGUCAGCGACCCGUCUUGAAACACGGACCAAGGAGUCUAACAUCUAUGCGAGUGUUUGGGUGUCAAACCCGGAACGCGAAAUGAAAGUGAACGGAGGUAGGAAGCCUUUGGGCUGCACUAUCGACCGAUCCUGAUGUCUUCGGAUGGAUUUGAGUAAGAGCAUAGCUGUUGGGACCCGAAAGAUGGUGAACUAUGCCUGAAUAGGGUGAAGCCAGAGGAAACUCUGGUGGAGGCUCGCAGCGGUUCUGACGUGCAAAUCGAUCGUCAAAUUUGGGUAUAGGGGCGAAAGACUAAUCGAACCAUCUGGUAGCUGGUUCCUGCCGAA
Molecule: ribosomal RNA, 916 nt
Filed under: Exophiala spinifera
Lineage: Eukaryota; Fungi; Ascomycota; Eurotiomycetes; Chaetothyriales; Herpotrichiellaceae
Description: LSU rRNA
Rfam family: Eukaryotic large subunit ribosomal RNA
Source: RNAcentral